UUAAAUAAUAACCUAUGAUAUAUAAUCAGAAACAAAUUAUAUUUGAAAUGGAUGUGGAUAAAAUAGUUCAUUAGAAAUACAACGAUCUAAUUCAUUCGGUCGCUAAUCCGGUUGCUGGUCUGAAAGCCGCUCUCAUUAAGCCGGUAUUUGAUCUGGAUCAUAAAGCUGCAGCCAUUAUUUUUCGCCCAAAUAUUAUUUAUUUAUACAAUCAAUAUCAAAUUCCACCCAUCCCCACGCAGUAACUGAAAUAUGUAUCCGUUUUUCCCCUGAAAAGUAUCAGAAUACACAACUUCAUUAUACGUACAUAUUCGUCAACCUCGAUCUUAUACUGCCUUAAAAUUGAAGUUGAAGGGAAAAUUGGUAAAAUGGUGAUGCGGAAUCGACUUAUGGAAUCGCUAUUCAAUAUUUGUCGUCGAAAUUUUAUCGCUCAAGUGCGACUCAAAUUCUUUCAUCGGCUCAUAACACAUCUGUAUUUGACUACGCUCGAAAUAAUUGACGUCGAAUAGUUGAUUCUGUCUAAUACACUAUCCGGAGACUUCUGUUGCACGCUUGUUGUUAUACAACUCUUCAUAGUUUUUCAAGUUCUCAACCUAAUUGCCAACGUGCAUAGCAAUGCACAACUCUUUAAUUGCUGCACUUGUUAUCAGUUUUCUCACACGCUUCUCGGGAGCUGCAAUAACUUGGAAUGCAACGUUGUAUCGGGAUGUAUCGCAACAAAAUGUUCUGCAGCAGGUAUCGGGAGUCGUAUGCCAAGACGUGGAUGCCUCUAAUCACGACCAAACCUCCUCCAUCAAUACCCAUGACACGUGCGUAAUAGUUUGGGCAGAGCCUGGUUGUAAAGGGAACCACAAGAAGAUACAACCUGGCACUCCACAUCAUGAUGAUUUUAAUCAGCUCGGGUUCAACGAUAUCUUGUCAUCGGUUGGGUCUUGUUGAAAAAGGAAAGAAAAUUGUCGUGCAUUUGGUAGCUCGCUGAAAAAAAAUCGACUCUUUUCAACGAAGAAAUCUGUUUUCUUGACAGCAUCCUGUUGCGCUGAAAUAAUGCUCCUUUAUUUCGUCAAAUAUCGCCCGGAGGCUCAAAUAUUUAUUGCCUUUCAAAAGCUCGAACUCUAAAAUGUAAUGAGACAGCUAAGGUUAUUUUAAACACCUGCUGGUUAUUAUAGGAAGUGAAGCUUCAAACAAAACAAAUUUUGUGUUUAUCGUGUCACAGUUUGCGGUGAAUUUAGCGCCGUAAACAAUGGAGGGGUUUGGAAAAUUCAUUCCUUCGAAUGGCGUAUCGGUAUUCACCAUUCUUUUUUUUUUUUUUUUUUUUUUUUUUUUAAUUGCCGCGAAAAAAUAGCUGGCAUUUUCUCUUGAAAGUGUCAAGAAGGGACAAGAAGACAAGGGUUUUUUGUUGUGUUAUUUCCCGUUUUGACCAAAUUUUGUGUUGAAAUUUCUCUCAGUGUACAGUCACAACCAAGAACGAAAAAGCGAACGAAAAAACAUAGGAUAAAAUAACGAUGAAUUUCAGCAAUAGCCUAAAAUUAAUUUUUGAAUCAUAAGCAAUGAUUCAGUGGAAAUUUAUUCAACGGUAAUAAUUUUGUUAAAAACCAGUGUGAUGUUCUUUCUCUUCUUUGUGCGAAAAAAAAUUCUAUGAAUACUGUAAUUAAUUAUUUCAAUUUUCCCCCGUAAAACAUAAAAUCGGAACGGAGAUAUCAAAACUAUGGAAACGAGAUACGCAUUUCGCGGUCUGGAAGUUUCACCGUCGUUAUAUCCGCAUCUUUCAUCGAUUAUCGAUAUUUCCUCAUUUGUAGGUAUGGUAUAAAGAAUCGAUUAUUAAUAGGUGUUCGCUGCAAACACCCUGUCUAUCGAUCCUUUCCCGUGGGUUUAAAUGGCAAAUCAAUCUAUAUACCGCAAAGCACGCCACGCCACUGAUUCCGCGGCGAUGAAUUGGACUGCAUUUGCAGUACGAAUAAGCGCUAUUCAUAGGGAGCCAGGAACAGUAGUUCCAAUGGUGUUGCGUGUUUUGCGAUAUAUCGAUCGAUAUUUCACUUGAACCUAUGAAAAAGGAUCGAUAAACAGGGUAUUCGUAACGAACACCUUCGUAAUCGAUUCUUUACCGUAGCUUCAAAUGGGGAGAUAAUAAGCGAUCAUCCGUGCCUCGUUACUGCAAGUAGUUCCUUAUUGGAGAAUGUAGUUCAAUUGAGCACCGUGCAUGCACGCCUGAGAGGUCGUGCCACGAAGCCGGGGCUCUUUCGCGAGAGCGCUUCCGCAUCAUUUGAACGCAUCCGAGCUGAAAUAUUUGAGUCGAGAGGUGCCGUGCCGGCUAGUGUUUGCAUACGCGGAGCGCGCGAGAAAAGUCGGGAGGAAAUUGGAAAGCGGACCCCUCGCGCCGCUCACGGGUUCUCAGUCCUAUGUGCUCUGGAAAACGGGUAUUUCACAUGGAGAAAAAUACUUCGUGCGUGGGACCCGAGGUUGAGGUCGUAUGGAUCUCCGAAGUUUUCUGAUCACGCACCCGAAAACUUGAGGUCGAGCUGCCGAAGUUCGGGUCAGACAUCGAGGCACUUCGGUAUGUACCGGAGUACUUCAAAUGUGUGACCCGAACAUCGGCAGCUGGACCUCA
Molecule: long non-coding RNA, 2602 nt
Filed under: Bemisia tabaci
Lineage: Eukaryota; Metazoa; Arthropoda; Insecta; Hemiptera; Aleyrodidae
Description: lncRNA ENSSSA3NGG010864
Source: RNAcentral